GGAACUCAUCACAGCCAACCGAUACUACAAAAGAAAACAAAGAACUGCCUUUGUUUAUACAAGCACGUGAAGCUCCACUAUUGGUUCUUCAAAAAAUGGGAAUCGUGAUGCUCUACAACAGCAAACAAUCGAUCUGAUGUUGUGUUCGUUUGGAGAAGAUGUUACAAGGCAUGACUUGAUUGAACAUGAAGAAGAUUUUGGGGAUGAGUCUCAUUAUUUCGGUGAUGGCUCAAGAGCAACAAUGAUGUCUCGAAAAUGAAAUACUUGCUGGAAAUGGUGGUGUUGAAUGGAGAUAGUACCUCAGUUAUGUAUGGAUGUGGACCAGAUUCAUCCAUGGACAGAAAAGGGGGUUCCCGACAGGUAUACAAGCUGGAAAACCAGCUGAAAUAUAUGCAUCUACUGCUGUUAAUUGGUGAUGGAGAAUAACGGGGAGUUGCUGCCGUGAUUAAUGGCAGUAAAUGGUGUUGCUGGUGAUCGAUGACGGUAGUUGGAUGGUUAAUAGCGGGUGAUGUUUUGUAGUUAGAGUGUGAACUGAAAAACAACCAAGAAGGAACUGUGGUCGUGCAAAAGUGUUUGCAGUGUGGUUGUUGGUAAUAGACUAGUCUGUCGGUAUCAAGAGACGGACAACAAGCUUACCUGCUACAAGUUAAUGGUUCCGAGAUGCCUGCUAAGUGGUUCUGGAUGAUGGUUGUACAGGGAGAAGAGUAUUUGGCUAAUUUUUGAAUUGGAGGUUACAAAUACAAGAUGCUCAUAAAGUUCAGCUGGGUUUGAUGGGGAGCGUGGUUCGAGUUAUGUCCAGGGAAGAACUGAAUUCAGGCUACAAGAAUUGAAAUCGCUGUGUGCUGGCUCAAAUGAAGAAACGGGAGAUAGUUAUGGGUUAUAUCUCAAGGUCAUGAGACCAGUGAAGACGAAAAGAUGGACUAGCUGAAGGAUGAUGUUCAUAGUUGCCUAAAUUCCUUUUCCUCGCCAAUUUAAGUUCACAUCUUUCUACAAUUUACGACGAUAAGAAAUGGGUCUGAAGUUGGAGCUAAUGGAGAAAUGGAGGUGUAUUUGUUGUGUGUUACGAGAGAUGGCAUUGCUAUUGGAUUCCUGGUGGUGAGCUGUUGUUGCCGAGAUGGAGAAGAAUUGAGCUCGAGUGGUGAUUUGUAUGAGCCGUUGGUACUGGUGGAGGAUGAUGGUCAAUGAGAUGAGAAGAUGUGGCUGCAGUCAGUGAAGGCGAGUGCUAGGUAGGCGGACAGAGAAUAGAAGUUGGCAAGGAGGCUUAGUAUGGCCGGUGAUUGAAUGGGCUUUUGGAGAUACUUCAAUAGUCCAGUUAGAGGACUUCGCAGCAUAUAUAUAUUUUGAGAUAGAAGAUCAGAAAGGGGAGGCCGACGCUGCAAGAGGCUACACUGCCGAGAAUAGCAGUUAGGUUCUGAAAGGGAGGCGCGACUACAAGCAGUUCAAGAGAGCCGCAGAGGAGAUUAGGGUUUGAAUCUUAUUUUUCUCCUUUUUGAUUAGCUAGGAUUUUAUAUUCAUAUUUGUUUAUGGUUUUUAAGAAAUCCAUGCCUAGCUAAUUUCAUGUUAGGGUGAAAGGAUGAAGUUGUAGGAUAUAUUUUUUUCAUGAAUAAGGGUUUUCUAUCGAUCGAACUUAAGUUUAA
Papaver somniferum (opium poppy) is the source of this 1637-nucleotide long non-coding RNA. RefSeq lists it as uncharacterized. Lineage: Eukaryota; Viridiplantae; Streptophyta; Magnoliopsida; Ranunculales; Papaveraceae. The transcript has 2 exons. The record is from RefSeq and is a predicted model, not a curated record.